Molecule: transfer RNA, 74 nt
Filed under: Gemmatimonadota bacterium
Lineage: Bacteria; Pseudomonadati; Gemmatimonadota
Also listed under: 10 other names
Description: Gemmatimonadetes bacterium tRNA-Val
Rfam family: tRNA
About the family: Transfer RNA (tRNA) molecules are approximately 80 nucleotides in length. Their secondary structure includes four short double-helical elements and three loops (D, anti-codon, and T loops).
Source: RNAcentral
GGGGCGGUAGCUCAGCUGGCCAGAGCGCUGCGUUCACAUCGCAGAAGUCGGGGGUUCAAGUCCCUCCCGCCCCA